CAGUCGACGAGACCUUCGGGUCUAGUGGCGCACGGGUGAGUAACGCGUGGGAACCUGUCCUGUGGUUCGGGAUACCUCCGGGAAACUGGAGUUAAUACCGGAUGUCUCCUUCGGGAGAAAGAUUUAUCGCCAUAGGGUGGGCCCGCGUCCGAUUAGCUAGUUGGUGGGGUAAAGGCCUACCAAGGCAUCGAUCGGUAGCUGGUCUGAGAGGAUGAUCAGCCACACUGGGACUGAGACACGGCCCAGACUCCUACGGGAGGCAGCAGUGGGGAAUAUUGGACAAUGGGGGCAACCCUGAUCCAGCCAUGCCGCGUGAGUGAUGAAGGCCUUCGGGUUGUAAAGCUCUUUCGGUGGGGACGAUGAUGACGGUACCCACAGAAGAAGCCCCGGCUAACUCCGUGCCAGCAGCCGCGGUAAUACGAAGGGGGCGAGCGUUGUUCGGAAUUACUGGGCGUAAAGGGCGCGUAGGCGGCGCACCAAGUCAGGCGUGAAAGCCCUGGGCUUAACCCAGGAACUGCGUUUGAGACUGGCGUGCUGGAGUGCAGGGGAGGUCGGCGGAAUUCCCAGUGUAGAGGUGAAAUUCGUAGAGAUUGGGAAGAACACCGGUGGCGUAGGCGGCCGACUGGACUG
This 630-nucleotide ribosomal RNA is filed under the name uncultured bacterium. RNAcentral's name for it is "bacterial SSU rRNA". It matches the Rfam family "Bacterial small subunit ribosomal RNA", at positions 59 to 736 of the family's 1533-position model. The record is from RNAcentral.